Molecule: ribosomal RNA, 274 nt
Filed under: uncultured bacterium
Lineage: Bacteria
Description: partial 16S ribosomal RNA
Rfam family: Bacterial small subunit ribosomal RNA
Source: RNAcentral
AUACGAAGGGGGCUAGCGUUGCUCGGAAUUACUGGGCGUAAAGGGAGCGUAGGCGGACUGUUUAGUCAGAGGUGAAAACCCAGGGCUCAACCUUGGAAUUGCCUUUGAUACUGGCAGUCUUGAGUACGGAAGAGGUAUGUGGAACUCCGAGUGUAGAGGUGAAAUUCGUAGAUAUUCGGAAGAACACCAGUGGCGAAGGCGACAUACUGGUCCGUUACUGACGCUGAGGCUCGAAAGCGUGGGGAGCAAACAGGAUUAGAAACCCCAGUAGUCC